AAAUAUGAUCCACGUAAAACCAAGCUGAUAAUAGCCCAAGCUAAGAUUUUAAAGAAACAUCACUCCAACACUUAAAGGGGCGCCUGGGUGGCUCAGUCAGAUGGGGAGCUCUGGCAGAAUGUUCUGGCCUGUGUGCAACGACUGAAUUCUCUCUGCCAAGGGAUAAAGCUAAAAUCUGCUUUCUUGGAAACCAGCUAAUGUCUUUAAGAAGCAUGACCCCAGUUAGGGAGAGAUUGGGAACUUUGAAUAAAGCGGAGGGUAAGAAAAUAAUUUUCAGCGUUCACAGGUACGGUAAUUUACAAGGAUAUUAGGAUCUGAAUACCAAGAAAUAAUUUAAAAAUAGAAUUUUCAGGGUGCCUGGGUGGCUCAGUCGGUUAAGCAUCUGGCU
Long non-coding RNA from Leopardus geoffroyi (Geoffroy's cat), 388 nucleotides. RefSeq lists it as uncharacterized. The transcript has 3 exons. NCBI's taxonomy places the organism in Eukaryota, Metazoa, Chordata, Mammalia, Carnivora, Felidae. The record is from RefSeq and is a predicted model, not a curated record.